RNAcentral lists this ribosomal RNA (492 nucleotides) under uncultured bacterium. RNAcentral's name for it is "partial 16S ribosomal RNA". It matches the Rfam family "Bacterial small subunit ribosomal RNA", at positions 29 to 507 of the family's 1533-position model. The record is from RNAcentral.
AGUGAACGCUGGCGGUAGGCCUAACACAUGCAAGUCUAACGGCAGCACAGUAAGAGCUUGCUCUUACGGGUGGCGAGUGGCGGACGGGUGAGGAAUACAUCGGAAUCUACUUUUUCGUGGGGGAUAACGUAGGGAAACUUACGCUAAUACCGCAUACGACCUACGGGUGAAAGCAUGGGAUCUUCGGACCUUGCGCGAUUGAAUGAGCCGAUGUCGGAUUAGCUAGUUGGCGGGGUAAAGGCCCACCAAGGCGACGAUCCGUAGCUGGUCUGAGAGGAUGAUCAGCCACACUGGAACUGAGACACGGUCCAGACUCCUACGGGAGGCAGCAGUGGGGAAUAUUGGACAAUGGGCGCAAGCCUGAUCCAGCCAUACCGCGUGGGUGAAGAAGGCCUUCGGGUUGUAAAGCCCUUUUGUUGGGAAAGAAAAGCAGCAGGUUAAUACCCCGCUGUUCUGACGGUACCCAAAGAAUAAGCACCGGCUAACUUCGUG